RNAcentral lists this ribosomal RNA (347 nucleotides) under Galeommatoidea sp. MN19468. RNAcentral's name for it is "partial 16S ribosomal RNA". It matches the Rfam family "Bacterial large subunit ribosomal RNA", at positions 1862 to 2515 of the family's 2925-position model. Lineage: Eukaryota; Metazoa; Mollusca; Bivalvia; Galeommatida. The record is from RNAcentral.
CCCGGUGAAGUUUUAACGGCCGCAGUUAGGAGCUGUGCUAAGGUAGCGUAGUAAGUUGUCCUUUAAAUGGGGAAAGGAAUGAAUGGUUUGACGUGAGGAAAGCUGUCUCAGGUGGAUAGGGUGAAAUUUUCUUCCCAGUGAAAAGCCUGGGAUUAACUUAAAAGACGAGAAGACCCUGUCGAGCUUGAUUAAAGCUUUAAGAUUUUUAAGUUGAAAGUUUGGUUGGGGCAACCUAGGAGCAAGGAAAGACUCCUUUAGAUUAUGGGGAUCCAAAAUUUUUGAAAAGAGAAAAAGCUACCGCAGGGAUAACAGCGUUAUCUUUCCUGAGAGAACAUAUUGAAGGGAAG